This 4423-nucleotide ribosomal RNA is filed under the name Triticum aestivum (bread wheat). RNAcentral describes it as "partial small subunit ribosomal RNA". The record is from RNAcentral. Lineage: Eukaryota; Viridiplantae; Streptophyta; Magnoliopsida; Poales; Poaceae.
CGCAGCCCGGCCCGAAGGGUCAUAUUAGCGACCGGCGCGGCGGGAGCUGGUGAUCUCUCUAGGUACCGCACCUAGUGGUAGCGAAGGAAGUUGGGGAGGAGGGACUGGCCCGGUAUGUAGCGGCCGCCGCGGAGGGGUGCGAGGAGGCGGAUAGGGCUGACCCAGGAUGAGGCGUUCUGCCGCGCGUAGAGCCGCAAGGCCUUGCGCUGGUGGCGGCUCCCGGCGUGCCGGCUCCCGGCUCGGCAGCUCCACAGGAAGACCGAGCAGCUGGGCGGCCCGCAGAGGAUGAAGAGGCAGGUGACGGGGCCGGAGGUUCUCCUGCUGAAGAGGCCGCUCGGGGUCCAGCAGACGCGGCUCCGGCGGAAGCAGGAGAAGGCGCAGUCUAAGUCGAAGGCGUCGCUCUCCGCCUAGAGGUGGGUAGUGAAGCAGAUGUGCCGGGCGCCGCGGCGCCCCGGCGGGAGUGACGUUGAGGAGGGCCUCGGGGGGCCGCAGCUCCGGCAGUUUAGGGUGGUCGAACCGGAGAACGGCACGCCGCCGCUCGCGAUGCGCCAGCGGAAGGAGCUAGCGUUAACCUGACGGGCUCCACUGCGGACCGUCACCGUCAAGCUACGGAUGCAGAAGAGCAGUCUCUGUACAAGGACCUCGUUCUUCCUCCGGAGUUACCCGAAUAGCCUCAGACUGCGGCGUAACAACGCAGGGAUACGCUGGAGGUUCGUCUAGCGCCAGCCUCGUUCGCGCGACCCGACCCAACUAUAGAGUGCGCCGUAAUGAGAGGAGACGUUGGACAAGCUGCUCACAGGACAGCAUUUUAUGUAGGGGAAGGGCCGCGGUCCCCAAACGUAGUGUGGGAUGAUGGCAGAGUGAGCAGUGAGCCGCGUUACGAAGGUGCUACAGCGGACGAUACUGCCAGACUAGUUUAAGCAGCUCUAUCCGAAGCUACCUGGACUGACGUACUAUUUCCCAUUUCCGACCGCUCGGUGGUGUACCUAGUCUUUGUAGAGAACCCCUCCAACCGCGUUCGUGUGGUCUCAACUACAACGAUUGUAGAGCCAACUGGGUUCUAUAAGACGAGACAACGGACUCGACACCUUGGUACUCUGGGUAUUCGAUCUCGACUUCUUUGACCAAAAGAAUGAUGGGUGGGACUCGCACGCGUUGCUACUAGAAGAAGUGUAGUACCGGUUCCACCCACCCCUUGUACUGUUCCGGACCCAGUAGCGGCAACUGUACUUUUCAUGCCAACACCUCCCUGAUCGGGGCCAAAGCUGGCCUGCCAUGACGGGGUCAUGUUACAAGAGGGGUACACGGAAGGGGUCAAUGGAGUUGUUGUACUGGGUUCCAGACCAAUAAGACGGAAGAAAGAGGAGUAUGGAGUACAGUACACUAAACGAAUGGUAGUCCCGGCAUGGGUUCUUUUACCUCUGGGUCACGCUUUGGUUUUUAACCCGGGAGCACACACACACACACACACGCGCGCGCCCCCCACGAAAACGCACGCACACAAACGUACGCACGCACGUACGCUCACACAGUACAACCACCAUGUUUAAAACUUUCUUAACGUAGAAUGGUUCUUCGUUAGAUUCAUAAGUUUUCAUGUUGUAAGAAAUCGUCUUUGCACGGUAGGAAAGAUAGUAAGGAACUCUGUUUUAGAAGUUAAUUAACAAGUAUUUUUUGGAAAAGAUUUUUGUAUUGUACCUUUGUUUUACCCUACUUUGUUAGAAACUAACUAAAACCUUCGUGUAGUAGCGCGCUGCCGCGUACACCGAAGCCAUUCAGACCUACAUCCCGUACGGGUCAACGAGGAGGCCAAGAGGAGAACUACUUAUCCACUUGUUCGUGAGACCGGCCCGGAGGUUGAGGUUAGCUGCGUGGGUCUAGCAUCCCCGCCGUUGUUUGUAGUUUCCCAUAGUCUUCUUCGUCUCAUGACUUGGAACAUAGACAAGUAACGUUGUCGCCUGCAUAAGGUACGUUUAGCGCUGCUUUAAUUUGACGAAUUCGCCGCUAAACUUCUUGACCCGAUUCGGCGAGCGCGAUCUUUUCUUUCUCUUUCUCUUCACUUCUCUCUCUCUCUCUUUCGCCCCCGAACGCACUCAAAGCCGGUACACCUCGUCCCGGACCACAUCUCAAUUAAGACGGUGUCUAAGUCACCUCAUAAUACGGAGUAAUAAUUGGGUUGAUUUGGUCGUGAUUCAUUAUCAAAUUGUAUUUUUUAACCCCCGGGACAAGGCAGCUUGGAAGACGUGUGCUCAGUCCAUACCCGGACGAAUGGUAAUAUAGAACACUUGAGAACCAACCAAUUCAGAAAUGAAUCCUGUUGAUACAAAAUCCCCGACAAACAAAACACUGAUUGAAACGGUUUCUAACGAUGUGGAUUCCAAUCCGUUCAAACUGGUUGAAUCCACUCACAAACUAAAUUCGGUGUGGAAUCCGUUCAGUGUAAACCCGGGGUGUACCGUAUGUGUGUUUUUCACACCGUUCUAAGGGAAUCCGAACGGUUGAACACCGAGAGUAAAAUUACUUGAUUGGAAUCCGUUCAAACCGUUUUUACACACCGAUUCACACCGUUACGAUCAGGAUCUUGGUUUGUCGGGGAUUCAAAACUGUAAUAACCGUAAUCUGACAAACACAAGUAAUGUUAAAUCGACAAGUAGUUUGAACUUUUAGUAGUCGGUCAAGUCAUUGGAAGUACUCAAUUACAAAGUACAACACCAAUCAAUGGUCAUACGUUCCACUUUGUCGACGACUAUGACAGUUACGUCUCUCAGUUCUACUGAGUCCUAGAAACACUCUACUAACCAUGUAAUGAAGAAAAUAACCGUACCACGAAUACGCUACACUCCACCACUACUCGGUUGAGCAAGACAAGGAGUUUAGUUGGUCCCUUUUAAACGUAAAAUGAGACUUAACGUAUAAAGUCUCUGACAGUCAAACCAAGAAAAAACCGUUAAUAAUCCUUUGUUCGACCUUAUAUUGGUAAGUACCAUCUCUGACAGACGAACCGUAUCUCAGUUCUACGGAGUACUAAAGACACCUUACUAAUUAAACUAUUUAGGUGAGGAGCUUUAUGAUCAAGAAAUACCCUAACUAAACCAACAUUAUAUGGUGUAGAAGUCCACGUCUGUACGUACGAAUCUCAAAACUAAGUACCGUCUCUGACAGGAGUACUAAAGACACCUUACUAACCAUGUACUGAAGUUAUUAAUCACAGUACGAAUACCCCAAGCUUCGGCACUACACGGUUGAACAAGGCAAAGAGAUUAGUUUGUCCCUCUUGUGUAAAAUCAAACGUAAAAAGAGGGUCAACGUAAGCAACCGUCUGACAGUGACAGUAAAAAAAAAGGUUAAUCCUUUGUUCAGACUUCUUGGUGAGCAACCAACACUACCUCCUUAGAACCUUCUUCUCCUUUAAGUUCGGCUCUUGUCCUAUUCUCCCGGACUCUACCCGUUGGGUCACCUGUUAAUGAAAUUCUCCUACUCACGAAGUGUCACACGAGACGUUCACGACAAGUGAGUUGCGACCAAGUCCCUUGAACUACUUACCAACCCAAGAGUCCCCAGUCGAACACUACGUACGACGUUUAGUGAUGGAAUGACCACAGGUCGUAGUCGAGACACAAAGCUAUAACUCCGUCACCAUUUGAUACGAAGGAUAUUACCACUUCCUCUUCCACGAAGGUACCGACAUCUAAGGACGAAUGCUCGAAACCUGCUAAAGAUAUUUGAUGACUUCCUCAGUGGAGACUCACUAGGUAGUUGUUGACUUCGGUACUUCGCAGUUUAGUCCCAACGGGAACCUCGAGAUCUGUCGUAGAACCUUAAACAUGGUGAUUUGGCAUACGGGUCCUCGUAUGUUUUCCACGAACAUCUACAAACGGACCUUGUUUUUCUUUUUUGUGAUCAUACACUUGUGAACCUCUUCGGUCCGGUAUGUCUCCUACUUAGACUGCUUACCGUCGUUACCCCUAGUCUGAGCCCCCUGCUUAGCCUACUUACCGUCGUUCCCAGUAGGCUGAGCCUCCUACUUAGACUACUUACCGUCGUUCACCCUGGGCUGAGCCUACUGAGAGAUCUCUGAGCACCCCUCUUCUUCGUCCGUGUCCAAGACCCAGCGGCCAGCCCCAUGAGCAUAACCGACAUAAAACAACCGACGCAUAACCAUCGCCAGCGGCGUUCUCGCAACUCAGUGGAGUGAAAUUACAGUAUCUCGGUCAUAGAACAAUAAGAGAGACACUGUCUUCUCAUUAAUACAGUUAGUUUUUUCUUUUCUUUUCUUUUCUUUUCUUUUCUCUCUCGUAUAAGAUCGAUCCUCGAGGACACGGCACGUACAUUUUUCCAUCACAAAACCUUUGACCACAAUUUACUUCCUCCAAAUAUAACCACCACCAAUUACAUAGUCGGACUAGGGACCACGGUCGAAAAC